Molecule: long non-coding RNA, 316 nt
Organism: Sander lucioperca (pikeperch)
Lineage: Eukaryota; Metazoa; Chordata; Actinopteri; Perciformes; Percidae
Exons: 2
Source: RefSeq, a predicted model, not a curated record
CCAAAACAUAAUCCCUUCUCUGACCCCCGCAGUGCUGGGUCUCUUACAGAAUGAGAUGUGAGUUUUACAGUAUAUCUGCUGAGGCAGUAAUGAGCUCCUUAUUUUGACCUGCAGUCCUAAUGAUGUGUCCAGCUACGCUUUGAACGCAGUGGGUGGCUGCAGGAGUGCGACUCCACCGGGCGUCCAAGCUAACACACACACACACACACACACACACACACACACACACACACAGUGGCUAUACAGGAGGGAGAUUGUGAGAAAACAAAGAUGAACUAGGGAAUAUCAAGCAACUAGACAAGGCAGCAAUGUAAGA